Molecule: ribosomal RNA, 490 nt
Filed under: uncultured bacterium
Lineage: Bacteria
Description: bacterial SSU rRNA
Rfam family: Bacterial small subunit ribosomal RNA
Source: RNAcentral
AAAGGAAUAGACGGGGGCCCGCACAAGCAGUGGAGUAUGUGGUUUAAUUCGACGCAACGCGAAAAACCUUACCAGGUCUUGACAUCCAACUAACGAGGCAGAGAUGCGUUAGGUGCCCUUCGGGGAAAGUUGAGACAGGUGGUGCAUGGUUGUCGUCAGCUCGUGUCGUGAGAUGUUGGGUUAAGUCCCGCAACGAGCGCAACCCUUAUUGUUAGUUGCUACGCAAGAGCACUCUAACGAGACUGCCGUUGUAAAACGGAGGAAGGUGGGGAUGACGUCAAAUCAUCAUGCCCUUUAUGACCUGGGCUACACACGUACUACAAUGGCGGUAAACAGAGGGGAGCGAAAGGGUGACCUGGAGCGAAUCCUCAAAAGCCGUCUCAGUUCGGAUUGCAGGCUGAAACUCGCCUGCAUGAAGUCGGAAUUGCUAGUAAUCGCGAAUCAGCAUGUCGCGGUGAAUACGUUCCCGGGCCUUGUACACACCGCCCGU